This 513-nucleotide ribosomal RNA is filed under the name Triticum aestivum (bread wheat). Its description in RNAcentral is "partial small subunit ribosomal RNA". Lineage: Eukaryota; Viridiplantae; Streptophyta; Magnoliopsida; Poales; Poaceae. The record is from RNAcentral.
AUGGUGCGGCUUAGGUCAACUAAUACAAAUAAGAUACAGUUCACUCAACGAUUGCCCUUGGGUCCCGAACUCCAUAUGGGGAAGGAACAUUGUUGUUUGCGAGGUCUCGAUCAUUUACAUGGACCCAUUUCUCAUUCCAUUUGUGGGAAUUUGAUGAUUUAUAAACCGUCCCCAACGAGCGAAAGGUUCAUGUUUGAACAUGAUGAAUCACUUCGUGCCGACCUGUUGCCCAUAAACUUUCCUGCCUCAUAUGAGAAUGGAAAACUGGAAGAUUUUCUGCAUCGGUGGAUGAAGAAUCACGAACAUAAGAAUUUCUGGUUUAGCAUGUUCCCAGAAAGAAGAUACUUUUUUUCCAUUCGAGAAACGAGGAGCACGACUGAAGUGGCUAUACAUACAAAUCCAUUUACGGAUCUAUAUGCUCCGAUUGGAACUGGAAGUUCCAGAACUGGCGGCUGGUAUACCACCAUAAUGAAAUUGCCUUUUAUUUUUAGUAUUCGGAUAGGAUUUCUGUAG